Long non-coding RNA from Vicia villosa (hairy vetch), 559 nucleotides. RefSeq lists it as uncharacterized. The transcript is spliced from 2 exons. Lineage: Eukaryota; Viridiplantae; Streptophyta; Magnoliopsida; Fabales; Fabaceae. The record is from RefSeq and is a predicted model, not a curated record.
UUAAUUGUUUCUUACAACUCAUUAUUGUUAAAAAAAUAUUUAAUUAAAGUUAACAAAAUAAAAUUGUUACUUAUAAAGCAAUAAAAAGUUAUAAGCACUACAUGCAAAGGAGAAAAAACAUGGCUCAAUUUCUCAUGUUUGUUUAUGCUUUGAUCUUCUUUCUUUCUAUAUUUCUUGCUACAGCUAGUAAAACUCUCUAUAAGUGUGAAAAGAUAGAAGAUUGCCCGGAGAUGUUUAUGCAUCCAGUAAAAAAGUGCAUUAAUAAUUAUUGUGAGUACGAGAAGGAGUAAUAUUAAGUUUAAAAAUAAUUAUGUUAUUCUUUUCAAAAUAACUUCAAAGCAUACAAUUAUAUUUGUAUGUCAUAAUAUUUGUACUUCAAUAACUUAUUUCGAAAUUUAAUAUAUGUUUUUCUUUCCUUUAAGUUUUUUUUAUGAAAAUAUCAAAAGAAUGUAUAAUUAUACUAGUCAGAGACCCGUGCUUCCGCACGGGUGAUUUUUUUUUUGGUGUAGUAUUUUUGUAAUGAUAUGAAUAAUAUAAAUAAAAGGAAUUAUAAGCAAUA